GCGGCCUAUCAGCUUGUUGGUGAGGUAAUGGCUCACCAAGGCGACGACGGGUAGCCGGCCUGAGAGGGCGACCGGCCACUCUGGGACUGAGACACGGCCCAGACUCCUACGGGAGGCAGCAGUGGGGAAUAUUGGGCAAUGGACGAAAGUCUGACCCAGCGACGCCGCGUGAGGGAUGAAGGCCUUCGGGUUGUAAACCUCUUUCAGCAGGGAAGAAGCGAAAGUGACGGUACCUGCAGAAGAAGCACCGGCUAACUAUGUGCCAGCAGCCGCGGUAAUACAUAGGGUGCAAGCGUUGUCCGGAAUUAUUGGGCGUAAAGAGCUCGUAGGUGGUUAGUUACGUCGGAUGUGAAAAUCUAGGGCUCAACCCUAGACCUGCAUCCGAUACGGGCUAGCUUGAGUUUGGUAGGGGAGACUGGAAUUCCU
This 426-nucleotide ribosomal RNA is filed under the name uncultured Actinomycetes bacterium. Its description in RNAcentral is "bacterial SSU rRNA". It matches the Rfam family "Bacterial small subunit ribosomal RNA", at positions 233 to 671 of the family's 1533-position model. Lineage: Bacteria; Bacillati; Actinomycetota; Actinomycetes. The record is from RNAcentral.